CCCUACGGGGGGCAGCAGUGGGGAAUAUUGCGCAAUGGCCGAAAGGCUGACGCAGCGACGCCGCGUGGGGGAUGAAGCAUUUCGGUGUGUAAACCCCUGUUGCCCGGGACGAACAACUGGUUUCGACCAGUCUGACGGUACCGGGUGAGGAAGCACCGGCUAACUCCGUGCCAGCAGCCGCGGUAAUACGGAGGGUGCGAGCGUUGUCCGGAAUCACUGGGCGUAAAGGGCGCGUAGGCGGUCUGCUAAGCGUGCGGUGAAAGCCUGGGGCUCAACCCCAGGUCUGCCGUGCGAACUGGUGGACUUGAGCACUGUAGAGGCAGGUGGAAUUCCGGGUGUAGCGGUGGAAUGCGUAGAGAUCCGGAAGAACACCGGUGGCGAAGGCGGCCUGCUGGGCAGUUGCUGACGCUGAUGCGCGACAGCGUGGGGAGCAAACAGGAUUAGAUACCCUUGUAGUC
RNAcentral lists this ribosomal RNA (458 nucleotides) under uncultured bacterium. Its description in RNAcentral is "bacterial SSU rRNA". It matches the Rfam family "Bacterial small subunit ribosomal RNA", at positions 337 to 795 of the family's 1533-position model. The record is from RNAcentral.